Molecule: ribosomal RNA, 238 nt
Filed under: uncultured bacterium
Lineage: Bacteria
Description: partial 16S ribosomal RNA
Rfam family: Bacterial small subunit ribosomal RNA
Source: RNAcentral
UGGCGCACGGGUGCGUAACGCGUAACCAACCUACCCGAAACUGGGGGAUAGCCCGCCGAAAGGCGGAUUAAUACCGCAUAAGCUCUGAGAGUGGCAUCACUCUUUUAGUAAAGAUUUAUUGGUUUUGGAUGGGGUUGCGUGCCAUUAGCUAGUUGGUGAGGUAACGGCUCACCAAGGCGACGAUGGCUAGGGGAGCUGAGAGGCUGGUCCCCCACACGGGCACUGAGAUACGGGCCCG